RNAcentral lists this ribosomal RNA (1153 nucleotides) under uncultured cyanobacterium. Its description in RNAcentral is "bacterial SSU rRNA". It matches the Rfam family "Bacterial small subunit ribosomal RNA", at positions 376 to 1533 of the family's 1533-position model. Lineage: Bacteria; Bacillati; Cyanobacteriota. The record is from RNAcentral.
CGAAAGCCUGACGGAGCAACGCCGCGUGAGGGAUGAAGGCCUCUGGGCUGUAAACCUCUUUUCUCAAGGAAGAAGACCUGACGGUACUUGAGGAAUAAGCCACGGCUAAUUCCGUGCCAGCAGCCGCGGUAAUACGGGAGUGGCAAGCGUUAUCCGGAAUUAUUGGGCGUAAAGCGUCCGCAGGCGGCCUUGUAAGUCUGUCGUUAAAGCGUGGAGCUUAACUCCAUUUCGGCGAUGGAAACUACAAGGCUUGAGUGUGGUAGGGGCAGAGGGAAUUCCCGGUGUAGCGGUGAAAUGCGUAGAUAUCGGGAAGAACACCAGUGGCGAAGGCGCUCUGCUGGGCCAUAACUGACGCUCAUGGACGAAAGCCAGGGGAGCGAAAGGGAUUAGAUACCCCUGUAGUCCUGGCCGUAAACGAUGAACACUAGGUGUCGGGGGAAUCGACCCCCUCGGUGUCGUAGCUAACGCGUUAAGUGUUCCGCCUGGGGAGUACGCACGCAAGUGUGAAACUCAAAGGAAUUGACGGGGGCCCGCACAAGCGGUGGAGUAUGUGGUUUAAUUCGAUGCAACGCGAAGAACCUUACCAGGGCUUGACAUCCUGCGAAUCCCUUGGAAACUAGGGAGUGCCUUCGGGAGCGCAGAGACAGGUGGUGCAUGGCUGUCGUCAGCUCGUGUCGUGAGAUGUUGGGUUAAGUCCCGCAACGAGCGCAACCCACGUCUUUAGUUGCCAGCAUUAAGUUGGGCACUCUAGAGAGACCGCCGGUGAUAAACCGGAGGAAGGUGUGGAUGACGUCAAGUCAUCAUGCCCCUUACGUCCUGGGCUACACACGUACUACAAUGCUACGGACAAAGGGCAGCAAACUCGCGAGAGCUAGCAAAUCCCAUAAACCGUGGCUCAGUUCAGAUCGUAGGCUGCAACUCGCCUACGUGAAGGAGGAAUCGCUAGUAAUCGCAGGUCAGCAUACUGCGGUGAAUACGUUCCCGGGCCUUGUACACACCGCCCGUCACACCAUGGAAGUUGGCCACGCCCGAAGUCGUUACUCCAACCCGCAAGGGAGGAGGAUGCCGAAGGUGGGGCUGAUGACUGGGGUGAAGUCGUAACAAGGUAGCCGUACCGGAAGGUGCGGCUGGAUCACCUCCUAACAGGGAUACA